ACACUGCUGAGGAGUCCCAUACUAGGACGAAACGGCCGUCCAGUAC
This is a non-coding RNA of Schistosoma curassoni, 46 nucleotides long. The record is from Rfam. NCBI's taxonomy places the organism in Eukaryota, Metazoa, Platyhelminthes, Trematoda, Strigeidida, Schistosomatidae.